GUAUUGCUUCGGCAAUACAUAUACUAAAAUUGGAACGAUACAGAGAUAUUAGCAUGGCCCCUGCACAAGGAUGACACGCAAAUUCGUGAAGCGUUCCAUAUAUUU
Molecule: small nuclear RNA, 105 nt
Filed under: Octopus vulgaris (common octopus)
Lineage: Eukaryota; Metazoa; Mollusca; Cephalopoda; Octopoda; Octopodidae
Also listed under: 1 other name
Source: RNAcentral